AGUCUAGCUGCUAGCUUGAGUCUAGUCUAGUGUAGUAGCCUAACUAGGCUAAGCCUAAGUAGAUCUACUAGGUUGUAACUAAAAGUCUAAGACUAAGACACUAGGUCGUGACUAGGUACUAGAAUCUACUACUAGGUAUUUCAUUAGACUGUUAAUAAUACUAUAUUUUCAUAUUUGAAGUAUUUCAUUUUCGUUUUUUUAAAUUUUACUUUAGUGUGUUACCUUUAUUUUAAUCACAUUAACUG
Biomphalaria pfeifferi is the source of this 245-nucleotide non-coding RNA. Lineage: Eukaryota; Metazoa; Mollusca; Gastropoda; Planorbidae. The record is from the annotation of a GenBank genome assembly.